RNAcentral lists this ribosomal RNA (918 nucleotides) under uncultured bacterium. RNAcentral's name for it is "bacterial SSU rRNA". It matches the Rfam family "Bacterial small subunit ribosomal RNA", at positions 33 to 941 of the family's 1533-position model. The record is from RNAcentral.
ACGCUGGCGGCAUGCUUUACACAUGCAAGUCGGACGGCAGCACAGAGAAGCUUGCUUCUUGGGUGGCGAGUGGCGAACGGGUGAGUAAUAUAUCGGAACGUACCGAGUAAUGGGGGAUAACUAAUCGAAAGAUUAGCUAAUACCGCAUAUUCUCUGAGGAGGAAAGCAGGGGACCUUCGGGCCUUGCGUUAUUCGAGCGGCCGAUAUCUGAUUAGCUAGUUGGUGGGGUAAAGGCCUACCAAGGCGACGAUCAGUAGCGGGUCUGAGAGGAUGAUCCGCCACACUGGGACUGAGACACGGCCCAGACUCCUACGGGAGGCAGCAGUGGGGAAUUUUGGACAAUGGGCGCAAGCCUGAUCCAGCCAUGCCGCGUGUCUGAAGAAGGCCUUCGGGUUGUAAAGGACUUUUGUCAGGGAAGAAAAGGCUGUUGCUAAUACCGACAGCUGAUGACGGUACCUGAAGAAUAAGCACCGGCUAACUACGUGCCAGCAGCCGCGGUAAUACGUAGGGUGCGAGCGUUAAUCGGGAUUACUGGGCGUAAAGCGAGCGCAGACGGUUACUUAAGCAGGAUGUGAAAUCCCGGGCUCAACCUGGGAACUGCGUUCUGAACUGGGUGACUAGAGUGUGUCAGAGGGAGGUAGAAUUCCACGUGUAGCAGUGAAAUGCGUAGAGAUGUGGAGGAAUACCGAUGGCGAAGGCAGCCUCCUGGGAUAACACUGACGUUCAUGCUCGAAAGCGUGGGUAGCAAACAGGAUUAGAUACCCUGGUAGUCCACGCCCUAAACGAUGUCAAUUAGCUGUUGGGCAACUUGAUUGCUUAGUAGCGUAGCUAACGCGUGAAAUUGACCGCCUGGGGAGUACGGUCGCAAGAUUAAAACUCAAACGAAUUGACGGGGACCCGCACAAGCGGUGGAUGAUG